RNAcentral lists this transfer RNA (66 nucleotides) under Micromonospora violae. Its description in RNAcentral is "tRNA-Met". It matches the Rfam family "tRNA". Rfam says of the family: Transfer RNA (tRNA) molecules are approximately 80 nucleotides in length. Their secondary structure includes four short double-helical elements and three loops (D, anti-codon, and T loops). The record is from RNAcentral. Lineage: Bacteria; Bacillati; Actinomycetota; Actinomycetes; Micromonosporales; Micromonosporaceae.
AACGGCGAUGCCGUCCUCGCCGGCCUCAUAAGCCGGACAUCGCGGGUUCGAAUCCCGCCCCCGCUC